Molecule: long non-coding RNA, 546 nt
Filed under: Pan troglodytes (chimpanzee)
Lineage: Eukaryota; Metazoa; Chordata; Mammalia; Primates; Hominidae
Description: long non-coding RNA NONPTRT013535
Source: RNAcentral
CUAUAUUAGAGAAAAGAAAAUGUAACUUCAAAAACAUUCCGAACUUGAUAAUAAGCAGAAACAAGAAACAAUAAAAAAGGAAAAGAUUAAUAAAUAGAAAAUACAAAAUAAAACUAUAUCAGUAUUCACACUCAAUGUAAUCAGAUUUAACUCACCUAUUAAAAGACAAAGAUUAUAGAAACAGAUUUUAUUUCCCAUAUUUUUAUUGAAAAAAAAACCCCAAUAUGCUGCUUAAAAGAGGCUAAUUCUAGGCAUAGGGAACAGCACAGGCACAGGCAUGGAGGCAGGAAAGCGAAGGUGCUGGUGGGGAGAAAACAAGUGUCCAGAGAGCUGGAUUGCAGUGUGAGAAAGGGUCGGCUGGGAAGGCUGGGGUCAGAUCCUCAGAGGACACAGGAAGGAGCUCUCUUUUUAAAUCUCUAAGCACCAAUCACAUUGCAGGUGUUUGAGCAAAGGAUUCUGUCUGCUGCCCUGUUGGCUCUGAUUUAAAAAUAGCAUUUAAUGAUCUCAAUAUGUGCCCUGUCCACCCUCCAUUCUCAGGCCAAACUU